This 288-nucleotide ribosomal RNA is filed under the name uncultured eukaryote. RNAcentral's name for it is "partial small subunit ribosomal RNA". It matches the Rfam family "Eukaryotic small subunit ribosomal RNA", at positions 587 to 972 of the family's 1831-position model. The record is from RNAcentral.
AGCUCCAAUAACAUAUACAAGUUGUGUUGCAGUUAAAACGCUCGUAGUCGAACUCAGAUUAUUAGAGGUAACCUGUGAGUAAACCCUCAAUAUCAAGUUUAUGUUGUGUUAAAGCAUAGGAUUCUUGCCAGGUGAAGUUUCUGUCGUCCCAAAUGGUACGAGGAGACUUGGUAUCAGAUAGAGAAGGAGCGGGGUAUGGAGAACUGGGUGGUAAGAGGUGAAAUUCGGUGACCCACCUAGGACUAACUAAGGCGAAAGCACCAAUUUUUUGAAACCAGCACUUCCUCG